This 464-nucleotide ribosomal RNA is filed under the name Vreelandella stevensii. RNAcentral describes it as "partial 16S ribosomal RNA". It matches the Rfam family "Bacterial small subunit ribosomal RNA", at positions 338 to 795 of the family's 1533-position model. The record is from RNAcentral. Lineage: Bacteria; Pseudomonadati; Pseudomonadota; Gammaproteobacteria; Oceanospirillales; Halomonadaceae.
CCUACGGGAGGCAGCAGUGGGGAAUAUUGGACAAUGGGCGAAAGCCUGAUCCAGCCAUGCCGCGUGUGUGAAGAAGGCCUUCGGGUUGUAAAGCACUUUCAGUGGGGAAGAAAGCCUUGGGGCUAAUACCCUCGAGGAAGGACAUCACCCACAGAAGAAGCACCGGCUAACUCCGUGCCAGCAGCCGCGGUAAUACGGAGGGUGCGAGCGUUAAUCGGAAUUACUGGGCGUAAAGCGCGCGUAGGCGGUCUGAUAAGCCGGUUGUGAAAGCCCCGGGCUCAACCUGGGAACGGCAUCCGGAACUGUCAGGCUAGAGUGCAGGAGAGGAAGGUAGAAUUCCCGGUGUAGCGGUGAAAUGCGUAGAGAUCGGGAGGAAUACCAGUGGCGAAGGCGGCCUUCUGGACUGACACUGACGCUGAGGUGCGAAAGCGUGGGUAGCAAACAGGAUUAGAUACCCUUUAGUC